RNAcentral lists this transfer RNA (85 nucleotides) under Truncatella angustata. It matches the Rfam family "tRNA". From Rfam's summary of the family: Transfer RNA (tRNA) molecules are approximately 80 nucleotides in length. Their secondary structure includes four short double-helical elements and three loops (D, anti-codon, and T loops). Lineage: Eukaryota; Fungi; Ascomycota; Sordariomycetes; Amphisphaeriales; Sporocadaceae. The record is from Rfam by way of RNAcentral.
GCCUCCUUGGCAUAGUGGUAUUGCGUCGCACUUGUAUAUCUUCUGCGUCAUGCGAAAGUCGGCGGUUCAAUUCCGCCAGGGGGCA